RNAcentral lists this ribosomal RNA (467 nucleotides) under uncultured bacterium. RNAcentral's name for it is "bacterial SSU rRNA". It matches the Rfam family "Bacterial small subunit ribosomal RNA", at positions 328 to 793 of the family's 1533-position model. The record is from RNAcentral.
AGGCCAGACUCCUACGGGAGGCAGCAGUGAGGAAUAUUGGUCAAUGGCCGCAGGGCUGAACCAGCCAAGUCGCGUGAGGGAUGACGGUCCUAUGGAUUGUAAACCUCUUUUGUCAGGGAGCAAAGGGCGCCACGUGUGGCGUUUUGCGAGUACCUGAAGAAAAAGCAUCGGCUAACUCCGUGCCAGCAGCCGCGGUAAUACGGAGGAUGCGAGCGUUAUCCGGAUUUAUUGGGUUUAAAGGGUGCGCAGGCGGAAUGUCAAGUCAGCGGUAAAAUUUCGGGGCUCAACCCCGUCGUGCCGUUGAAACUGGGGGGCUUGAGUAUGUUUGAGGCAGGCGGAAUGCGUGGUGUAGCGGUGAAAUGCAUAGAUAUCGCGCAGAACUCCGAUUGCGAAGGCAGCAUGCCGGCUCCACACUGACGCUGAGGCACGAAAGCGUGGGUAUCGAACAGGAUUAGAUACCCUAGUAC